This 397-nucleotide ribosomal RNA is filed under the name uncultured bacterium. RNAcentral's name for it is "partial 16S ribosomal RNA". It matches the Rfam family "Bacterial small subunit ribosomal RNA", at positions 523 to 918 of the family's 1533-position model. The record is from RNAcentral.
AUACGUAGGGGGCGAGCGUUGUCCGGAAUGAUUGGGCGUAAAGGGCGCGUAGGCGGCGCGGUAAGUCUGGAGUGAAAGUCCUGCUUUCAAGGUGGGAAUUGCUUUGGAUACUGCCGCGCUUGAGUGCAGGAGAGGUUAUCGGAAUUCCCGGUGUAGCGGUGAAAUGCGUAGAGAUCGGGAGGAACACCAGUGGCGAAGGCGGGUAACUGGACUGCAACUGACGCUGAGGCGCGAAAGUGUGGGGAGCAAACAGGAUUAGAUACCCUGGUAAUCCACACUGUAAACGAUGAAUGCUAGGUGUAAGAGGUAUCGACCCCUUUUGUGCCGGAGUCAACACAAUAAGCAUUCCGCCUGGGGAGUACGGCCGCAAGGUUGAAACUCAAAUGAAUUGACGGGG